Boleophthalmus pectinirostris (great blue-spotted mudskipper) is the source of this 931-nucleotide long non-coding RNA. RefSeq lists it as uncharacterized. The transcript is spliced from 6 exons. The record is from RefSeq and is a predicted model, not a curated record. Lineage: Eukaryota; Metazoa; Chordata; Actinopteri; Gobiiformes; Gobiidae.
AAAACCCAGAAUGUUCCACAGUAUGACUUUAUACACAGGACGACCCUACUAGCAUCAGGAUCCGCAGCGGAUCCGCUUUCGCUCCGCCAAAUCCGCCCCACAGUCCGUCCGCUUUGCGGAUCCGCUGCGUAUUUGUUCCGUAUUCGCAUUCUGACUGUUGCUAACCCUAACCCUUGGAUGGCCUGCUGUUACAGAGAGAAUCUGCGGUUAAAUCAUCUUAGAUCCGCACUGUGAACGUACUUUUAACACAACACUUUGUUUUUGACACAAUGAUUUGUACUAUCAAUGCGCGGAUCCGCGGCUAAACCGGUUCGGAUUCGCUGCGCGGACGCGCCACUGACUCAGCCGUUAUCAGAACCUGAGAGAAAGAAACAACAUCCACCUGUUGUCCGUGGAUUUCACUAUGACAUCAGGACCCUGUCCUUCUGCUGAGUGUCCCCAUCAGGAGCCCCUGUCCUUCUGCUGAGUGUCCCCAUCAGGAGCCCCUGUCCUUCUGCUGAGUGUCUCCAUCAGGAGCCCGACACGCUGAUCAGAGAAUAUACUAUGGUUAAUAAGAAGAUGGACAUAAGGGCCUGAUAAAGACCCUCUGGAGAAUUCCCUCUGCUGGGCCAAGUUCCAAAAAUGUAGAGACAGACCCUCUAACCUGCUGUGGUGGAGUUUACAGACUGACCCUCUAUGCUGUGAGAAAGGGGAAGUCCAGAGCUGGACACUGACAGACUGGAUCUUCACCAGUAGGACUGAAGAGGAGCCAGACCUCACUACACCUCUGCCUCAAAACCUCUGCCUCAGACUGAAGCUAAAGACAGAGGCUCUGAAGCUCACACACUGCACACUCUAUAAGAACAACCAUCCGUCUAAUUGUUCUGUGGUGGUAAACACAAGUUAAGUUUUAGUUUUAAACAGUAUGGUAUGGCUACACUCUGUCUCAUCU